CGCGCGGCCCGGCGCCCUGCCCCGAGGGGGUGGCCUGGUCGGCGCCGCCCUGUGGCCUUUCAGGGGUCUGGCUGAGCCCUCCGCGCUGGCCCAAGUUAUUUCAGGGCCUGGAGAGGAAAGUGCUCCCCCGAGGAGACCCUCAGACGGCUGCGAGCCCUCCCCUCUGUGCGCGCCCCUGCCUUAGGCGGAGGGGCGGCUGGAAGCCUGCUCCCUGCGACGUUCCCGCAUGUCCCGCCCCCACCCUCCGUGGCACAACUGCCCGCAGAGCUGAGAGAGAAUAAACUUCUCGAUUAAAAAAAAAUGUUUUUUUAAAAACAUGGCUAUUAGGCGCUCUCGGUUUUAUUGAGCGAUUCGUGACCCCGCAGCUGCCCAUCUAGAAAGGAGAGGGGGGCCCCUCCGCGGUUUAUCUUCAAGAAAGUCGCCGUCACGGCUUGGAAAGGAGCUGCCCCGGCCUCUCCCAGCACAGGCGGCCGUUUUCUCUUUAUUUAACAUUCUGUAGGUGCUUUGUUCCCGCGCCCCAGGGCCCAGGAGUGCUGUUAGCCCCUAAGGAAGAGACCCCAAGUGGAGCCAAACUCCAGCCCCUUCCCAGGCACCCCCGAACCGGCUGGGCGGGAAAGGCCAGCAGAGGUUCAACCCGGCAUCCAGUAGCCGUUUCCCCCCUUAAUUAAACAUUUCCCUUCAGUGGCCUGAGUGUCAAAGCGUCAUAUUUGCAGGAUGGGAAGCUGGGAAAUGUGGGAAGUUUGGAGAAGAGAAUAAUUUGCUUUCUUAGCAGGCAGGGACAGUCGCUGCUGGACUUUGCCGGCACAUCUCCAAGAGCAAUUUAUAAUCUGGUUUUUUGGUUUAAAAAUGGAAGAGCCUUUCCUCAUAGUUUCCAGAAUUAUAGUGGUCUUAUUUUACUUCCAUUUGUUAGGAUUUCCCUUUUGAUGUUGUCCUCUGCUCAUAGCAGCACCCGAAGCGCCACAAGAGCCCCGGGGGGGUUGGUGUCCCUCUGCCUUCCUGAUCCACGUUACAGAUGGGGAAACGGAGGCACGAUUCUCAAAGAGCAGGUCGCACGGGGAGUUCGAGGUCGGCGCUGGAGUUUGAAUGCGAAAGGACUCCUGGUUCCCACCCGGAUCCACCAUUGCCAGAAGGACCAGGACGAGUUCAAGGCGGUGCCAGAAGGAUCCUGAAAGUUCCUGCAGAGGAGCGUGGCUGCUGGCACUCCCCAUGGAAGGCUACUGAACUUAAGAGGCACCAGUCACUGCUGAGAAAAUGCCAGAACAUGGAGGCCACACAGAGAGGUGCCUUGGAGAUGACGCUGUUCACAGCCCAAGCCCUGUGACACAUCAUUGGGGAUGGAGACUUUAAAGGUUCAUCAGCCAUGAGCCACCUUGGGGCACCAUGCUGCAGAGAACCUACAGACACCUGCACCCACAGCUCACACAGCGUAAGACGCCAGAAAGUCCAGGACGCUGAGCUCUGCCAACAGCCACGGGAGCUCCCCCGUCGAGCCUUCAGAUGAGACCUCGUCCUGGCUGCCUCUGAGAGCCCCUAAGCAGGGGAACCAGCUAAGCUGCUCCCACAGUCCUGACCCACAGAACUUUGAGAUCCUCUGUGUGUUGUUUUCGGCUCCUAAGCUUGCGGCGAUCUGUUAUGUAGCAGUGGAUGAUAAAGCAGGUUUGGGUGCCUGGAGGUGGGGUUCUGCUGUGAGAAAGACCUAAAAUGGGGGAGAGGCUUUGGACCAGGCAGUUGAUAGAGGCUGGGAGGAUUUUGAGGAGCCUAAAUUGCCUUGAAUAACUGUUAGUAGAAGUCUGCGCAGCGAGGCUGCUGCAUGGCAGGGAACCUGCUGUUAGAAGCUGGAGGACUCUUGUUGUGUCACCACAGAAAGCUCAGCGACACUGGCGCCUGCAGCUGUGUGGCCGGCAAAAGGUUCUUAAGCACAGUUGUUGAAGGUGCUGCCUGAUUUCUCCUGGCUACUUAUGGUAAAAAUACAAGACUAUGAUAAAUUGAGGGAUGAACUGUUAAACAAAAAGGAACCAGCACUGGUGCUCUAAGUUUUACCAGGCUUUCUGGAUGGUAAAAGACACUAAAAUUAAGAAGUGUCCUCUGAGUCUCAUCAGGAAAACCUGGCACAGAUGAAACCUGGUCUAGGGAAAAAUCCCAGAGGCAACUGUACAGCCUUUCCUUUAAAACUCAGAAGAAUCAAAGGAUCAGAGUAGCAUUCAGCCAGACAAACAGCCCUUUACGAAGUUUAGGGUGGUGCCUCGGAACCUAACAGUAGAGCUGCUAGGAAGCUUAAAAACCAUCCCCUCAGCAGGAGCCCACAGUAGGGCAGGGCUUAUCUCAAAGACAUUUGUGAGUGUGUUUUGCCCAAUGGCGUAUAUGCCCAAUGAGAUUCACAAAGGGCCCACAACUUUAUGAGAAAAUAUCACCGAAAACACUGUCAGUGUGGGCUGGAAGGGACAGAGAGAGGAGAAAAGGAGGAGACUGUUGGACACACACCCCCCACCUCAAAUUCCGCUGGCAGGAAACAGGCUGAGGAAACCACUCGGCUGCAGACACAUGGAACCUCUGAUGCAAAAGCAGGAGGACUCAGAGAGUAGAACCAAUGGUCCAGAGGGCAGAGCUGAAGGCCUUGGAGCAUCGGUCCCAGCCCCUGAAAGCUGAUCGACGGCUCCCACAUGCUUGUCUGCCUGGAUUUCAGAAUCCCUGUGGGCCAGGGGCUCCUUUAUUCUUCACUCCCCUGAACCCCAUUGCAACAGGACUGCCUGUAGCUCUACCCUUUGCCCAUCGCAGCAUGUAUUAUGGGUGUGUGGGGUGGGGGUGGGGGUAGGUAAUUUGUCUCUAGUUUCAUGAGUCCAUCAGUGGAGAGGACUUGUGUGCCAGGAGCUGCACUCAACAGAGCACACCUGAGGAGCCUCUUCUGUGCCUGCACAUGAUUUGGAGGAGACUCUGGACUUUGAACUGGUCCUCCGCUAGGAAGAGACUUUGGGGGACCUUGGGAGGGGGCGAGUAUAUUUUGCAAGUGGAAAGGACACGACUCACAGGGAACCACAGGGUGGAGUAGACUCUGAUGAUUCCCUUCUGGGAUUCCUUCCCCUGGAGUUACCGGCUUCUGACAAGUCACUGGGGAAUGUCCCUUAGGACACAAGAAGCCUUGACUGUGGUCUUGCCAGCAGCUCUGCCAGCAGCCAGCAGGGAACCGGGUCCCCAGUCCCCCUGCCCCAGGGAACUGGGUUCUGCCAACAACGACAUGAGCCUGGAAGUGGAUCCUUCCCGGGUCCAGCCUCCAGGUCCGCCCCAGCCCUGCAAAUUCCUCGACUGCAGCCUGUGAGAGACCCUCAAGGAGAGGAUCCACCUGUGCUGGGCCAAGACCCUUGACCCAAAGAAACUGUGAGCUAGUAAGUGUGUUGUUUUGUGCUGUUACACAUGUGGCCUUUGUUAUACAGCAACAGGGAACCCACACAGAGAAACCAGGGCACUGGUGGGGUCCCUGCGGCUGAGAGGAGAAAAUGCGUGGGGAGGGCAGGGUCAAACGCUUGGGAGAAAAGGACUUCUGAGUGGCCUUCGGUCUUGUGGGCAGUGAAAGAGCUGAGGACCGGCCAGCUGUGAGGCCGUAGCCCAGGGCAGUGGUAAAUUCCAGACCCCAGGCCCUUGAAGAUUUUCUCUAGCUCGUCCUCCUGGAGGAGACUGACUGACGUUUCCUUCCCCUGAGCUCUGGUCUCCCAGUUGCACCCUGGGUUCUGCUUGCCUCCUCCCCCAAAGGCCCCAGCACUCGCCCCAUUCAUUCAUUCCCCAGUACCAGGAUCACCAAACCCAGAAUGUGUGCCCCACCACCCACCUCCCCGACCUAACCCUGGGUGUGGCUUCAGGCAUUGGAGCCCAGA
Molecule: long non-coding RNA, 3866 nt
Organism: Choloepus didactylus (southern two-toed sloth)
Lineage: Eukaryota; Metazoa; Chordata; Mammalia; Pilosa; Megalonychidae
Exons: 3
Source: RefSeq, a predicted model, not a curated record